GACGUAGGGGGCGAGCGUUGUCCGGAUUUAUUGGGCGUAAAGAGCUCGUAGGCGGCUCAGCAAGUCAGGUGUGAAACCUCCAGGCUCAACCUGGAGACGCCACCUGAUACUGCUGUGGCUAGAGUCCGGUAGGGGAACACGGAAUACCCGGUGUAGCGGUGAAAUGCUUAGAUAUCGGGUGGAACACCAGUGGCGAAGGCGGUGUUCUGGGCCGGAACUGACGCUGAGGAGCGAAAGCGUGGGUAGCAAACAGG
RNAcentral lists this ribosomal RNA (254 nucleotides) under uncultured bacterium. RNAcentral describes it as "partial 16S ribosomal RNA". It matches the Rfam family "Bacterial small subunit ribosomal RNA", at positions 524 to 776 of the family's 1533-position model. The record is from RNAcentral.